Molecule: ribosomal RNA, 327 nt
Filed under: uncultured methanogenic archaeon
Lineage: Archaea; Methanobacteriati; Methanobacteriota
Description: bacterial SSU rRNA
Rfam family: Archaeal small subunit ribosomal RNA
Source: RNAcentral
CCCUACGGGGUGCAGCAGGCGCGAAAACUUUACAAUGCGGGAAACCGUGAUAAGGGGACACCGAGUGCCAGCAUCAUAUGCUGGCUGUCCGGGUGUGUAAAAUACACCUGGUUAGCAAGGGCCGGGCAAGACCGGUGCCAGCCGCCGCGGUAACACCGGCGGCCCGAGUGGUGAUCGUGAUUAUUGGGUCUAAAGGGUCCGUAGCCGGUUUGGUCAGUCCUCCGGGAAAUCUGACGGCUCAACCGUUAGGCUUUCGGGGGAUACUGCCAGGCUUGGAACCGGGAGAGGUAAGAGGUACUACAGGGGUAGGAGUGAAUCCCUGUAAUC